This 75-nucleotide transfer RNA is filed under the name Candidatus Saccharimonadota bacterium. RNAcentral describes it as "tRNA-Asn". It matches the Rfam family "tRNA". Rfam says of the family: Transfer RNA (tRNA) molecules are approximately 80 nucleotides in length. The record is from RNAcentral. RNAcentral also lists the same sequence under 4 other names. Lineage: Bacteria; Candidatus Saccharimonadota.
UCCCGGGUAGCUCAAUGGUGGAGCAAGAAGCUGUUAACUUCGAGGUUGUCGGUUCGAGUCCGACCCCGGGAGCCA